This 870-nucleotide ribosomal RNA is filed under the name uncultured bacterium. Its description in RNAcentral is "bacterial SSU rRNA". It matches the Rfam family "Bacterial small subunit ribosomal RNA", at positions 28 to 917 of the family's 1533-position model. The record is from RNAcentral.
GAUAAACGCUGGCGGCGUGCUUAUGCAUGCAAGUCGAACGGGUCACUCCGUGACUAGUGGCGAACGGGUGAGUAACACGUAAGUAACCUGUCCCCAAGUAGGGAAUAACUCUGAGAAAUUAGAGCUAAUACCCUAUGUGGUGGUGGGGGUAAUGCCCCAUCACUAAAGCCUUCGGGCGCCUGGGGAGGGGCUUGCGUCCGAUUAGCUGGUUGGUAGGGUAACGGCUUACCAAGGCGAAGAUCGGUAGCUGGUUUGAGAGGACGGUCAGCCACACUGGGACUGAGACACGGCCCAGACUCCUACGGGAGGCAGCAGCAAGGAAUAUUGUGCAAUGGGCGAAAGCCUGACACAGCGACGCCGCGUGGGGGAUGAAUGCUUUCGGGUUGUAAACCCCUUUUCUCAGGGAAGAACAAUGACGGUACCUGAGGAAUAAGUCUCGGCUAACUACGUGCCAGCAGCCGCGGUAAUACGUAGGAGGCGAGCGUUAUCCGGAUUUACUGGGCGUAAAGCGGGCGUAGGCGGUCCUUCAAGUCGGAUGUAAAAUCUCCCGGCUCAACUGGGAGGGAUCAUUCGAAACUGCUGGACUUGAGGAUAGCAGAGGGAGGUGGAAUUCCCGGUGUAGUGGUGAUAUGCGUAGAUAUCGGGAGGAACACCAGUGGCGAAGGCGGCCUCCUGGGCUAUUUCUGACGCUGAGGCCCAAAAGCGUGGGGAGCGAACAGGAUUAGAUACCCUGGUGUCAUCCACGCUGUAAACGAUGGACACUAGGUAUGGGGGAGUACCGACCCUCUCCGUGCCGAAGCUAACCGCUAUAAUGUCUCCGCCUGGGGACUACGCCGCAAGGCUAAAAUCUGCAUAAAGGAAUUCGACCGG